GACUCACAGUCUAACCCACAACCCUCUCUCUCAAUCGCGUCUCUCCCACUUCGUUCCCAAACGCUUCGCUCAACCUCCCUCACAUCCUCAAUCGCUUCGCUACGUCUCACACCCAAAUGCCCUCAUCUCCCUCAAUCAAUCCAUCCUCGACCUCAACCCUUUCUCUCAAUCACUCUCGAAUCAUACAAAAAAACAAAGGCUGAAGCAAAAGAGAGCUCACCUCCGGUGGUGAAGACGGUAACGACGGCUCAACCUCGCUCCUUCCCUCUCCCAAAUAGGUUUGUGUUUGAUUUUUCGAUUUAGGGUUCUGUUUGCUCCGUUUUUCCAAUCCGCCUCCACUUCGUUUUCGAAAUCGCCGUUAAUUUUUUUCCUCUCCUCACUGAUUUCUCUUUCUCUCCUUUUAUGCUCCAGAUUAGGGUUUUCGGAUUUGGCCUCUAGAGCUCAAAGAAGAAAAUUUCCAGAAGUCUUUUUGAUGCUCAGAAGUGCUUUUAUCUUGUUUCACGCUACACUUCCGGAAACGGUACCUUGAACUCAAACUUUCUCUUAGAUUUUUGUCUCUUCCCUGAUUUGGGAAUUUUUGGAAUUUAACUUUUUGCUGUUAAUCUUUUGUUACUGCAGUGAAAAGGUUGCAAUGGUGAAAACGUGAGGAGCUUCGGUGGUCAAUGGAUCUAAAACAUGCUGAGUUCCAAGUGUGAGUGUGUUCUCUUUGAAUUCUGAAAAAUUUCUAUCUUGUAAUCUUUUGAAACUUCCUUAAUUGCUUCAACUUCCUCAAGAAAUACCAGAAUUUGGAUUUGGCACGAACUUCAUUGGUUGCCCAAAGCUUCAUGCGGCAAAUCUUCGGGUGCUCAUCGGUUUCCGUUGGAAGACCCCUUCCGACGACCCGGUACUGGUGAAACUUUGCCUUACCCAUUUUUACGAUGAGCAGCGAUUCCGAUUGCGACUCGCCGCCGAUUCAAGUUUUGCUGUUUUGUGAAUUAUUGUUUGUUGCAGGUGAACAAAUGGUGUUAUUGCAGAAGUUGGUAUGCUGUUUGCCACCAUUUUAUUUUGUUAAUUUUCUCUUCUAUUUCCAAG
Molecule: long non-coding RNA, 1071 nt
Filed under: Lathyrus oleraceus (garden pea)
Lineage: Eukaryota; Viridiplantae; Streptophyta; Magnoliopsida; Fabales; Fabaceae
Description: Pisum sativum (pea) long non-coding RNA (PSAT_LNC040558)
Source: RNAcentral